CCUUGCAGCGGAGCACGUGAACUUAACCACUGGGGCACGGGGCCAGCCCCGUCAAGGCUUCUAAAAUGGGGUUUAUGCACGUACAACACGUCUCUGCCCAGAUGGAUUGUAACUUUUGAACAAUGCUUCACUGUGGUCAUCUUGACCUCCUUUCAAGAAAUAUGCUUAUCCCAUAGAUAAAAUCUUUUUGCCUUAGAGACGGCCUUAGCAAUCAAUCACAUAUAGGCAAGAAGUAAAAGUUGUUGCCAGCACCAGUCACAAAUUUUGCAAAACAACUUGGGUAAUUUAUCUCUUUUUGCCUUUAUAAACCCUUGCCUCCUUUGUCUUCCGUGGAGCACAUUUUGCUUUUCUGCCUGAAUCUGUGUCUCCUGAAUUGCAAUUCUAAUUGCCCAAAUAAAUAUCUGCUGUUUAAGUUGUAGCAGAUUUUUCCUCAGUUGACACCAAACAGCCUAAGGAUCCAAACAUAUCACUUCCCUGCUUGAAGUCUUUUCAAUUGGAUCCCCACUUCCUACAAGAUAACGUCCAAACUCCUUAACAUGACAUUUAAGGCCCUAUGUGUUCUAAUUUCAAUUUACUUUUCCAGACUUACGUUCUUCUCCCACCAUAUUCUAGACUAUGAAAAUCUAAGUUUAAAAAAAUCAUGUAAUCAAAAAUCCAUUAAGAUUCUGAAUUUUUUUAUUGCUUAUAGUGGGGGAACUGAGAAGAUUUACGUAUGGUAUAAUAAAACAGACAUUACUCAAAUAUAAAUCUAUUACUUAUGGAAAAUAUAUUCUGUGUAUUUCCUUUUGUUAAUGAAGUAGGGAUUCUUUUGACAGCAAGUGACAGAAAUCUAAUUUGAAUUAGCUUUGGCAAAAAUUAGAAAUUAUUGGCUUAUGGAUCCCAAGGAAGAGUUAAAAACAAACCUAAGAGAUGGCCAGCCUGCAGCUGGGCCUCAGGGACAAAUGCAGGAACUUCACUGACAUUAAAAUUCCGUUUGACAGUUGGCUCGGCUCCUCUCUGCAUGUCAGCUUCAUCUGCUCUCACUGCAGACAGGACUUUCCCGCAAAGAAGAAAACAUGGACACCAAUAGCUCUUUGGGUCACUGUCCUUUAACGACAAUGUUAAACGACUCUCUUGAUUCCAGUAUGAAAAAUCCAGAGGAAUGCCUCUGAUUCUACUGGCUUGGGCCAGGUGCCUCUCCCUGGACCCAUCAAGUGUGACCAGGAGAGUGGGGUCAUGUAAGUAGAGAAAAGUUCUGCCUAUAGCCAUGUGGAUGGGAGCAGGAGAGGGGGAGACCAGUUCUCAAGAAAGAGAGCUCCUGGGGAAGGCAGUACCACUGACAUCCAUUACAAACCCCUGGCUGCUAUGGGGCCUAUAUCUCUUCAUGAUUAUUAUUGCAUCUGGUGUCAUGUUUUCCCAGCUGGUGCACCGCUCCCCUGUAGGAGGUUUCUUGAUGUUCACCCUUCUACCAGCCUCCUGCCUGCUCUCCAAAGGUUCAUCCUGCGACCCUGCUCUACAUAGGUAACCUCUUCUAACCAGAUCUGUGAUUAAAUGGAUGUGCUUAAAA
Non-coding RNA from Equus caballus (horse), 1546 nucleotides. Lineage: Eukaryota; Metazoa; Chordata; Mammalia; Perissodactyla; Equidae. The record is from RefSeq and is a predicted model, not a curated record.